AGAGUUUGAUCAUGGCUCAGAACGAACGCUGGCGGCAGGCUUAACACAUGCAAGUCGAGCGCCCGUAGCAAUACGGGAGCGGCAGACGGGUGAGUAACACAUGGGAACGUGCCCUUCGGUUCGGAACAACCCAGGGAAACUUGGGCUAAUACCGGAUACGCCCUUACGGGGAAAGAUUUAUCGCCGAAGGAUCGGCCCGCGUCUGAUUAGCUAGUUGGUGGGGUAAUGGCUCACCAAGGCGACGAUCAGUAGCUGGUCUGAGAGGAUGAUCAGCCACACUGGGACUGAGACACGGCCCAGACUCCUACGGGAGGCAGCAGUGGGGAAUCUUGGACAAUGGGCGCAAGCCUGAUCCAGCCAUGCCGCGUGGGUGAUGAAGGCCCUAGGGUUGUAAAGCCCUUUCGGCGGGGAAGAUAAUGACGGUACCCGCAGAAGAAGCCCCGGCUAACUUCGUGCCAGCAGCCGCGGUAAUACA
RNAcentral lists this ribosomal RNA (475 nucleotides) under uncultured bacterium. RNAcentral describes it as "bacterial SSU rRNA". It matches the Rfam family "Bacterial small subunit ribosomal RNA", at positions 8 to 527 of the family's 1533-position model. The record is from RNAcentral.